RNAcentral lists this ribosomal RNA (254 nucleotides) under uncultured bacterium. RNAcentral describes it as "partial 16S ribosomal RNA". It matches the Rfam family "Bacterial small subunit ribosomal RNA", at positions 524 to 776 of the family's 1533-position model. The record is from RNAcentral.
GACGUAGGGGGCGAGCGUUGUCCGGAUUUAUUGGGCGUAAAGAGCUCGUAGGCGGUUUGUCGCGUCGGCCGUGAAAUCUCCACGCUUAACGUGGAGCGUGCGGUCGAUACGGGCAGACUUGAGUUCGGUAGGGGAGACUGGAAUUCCUGGUGUAGCGGUGAAAUGCGCAGAUAUCAGGAGGAACACCGGUGGCGAAGGCGGGUCUCUGGGCCGAUACUGACGCUGAGGAGCGAAAGCGUGGGGGAGCGAACAGG